This 568-nucleotide ribosomal RNA is filed under the name uncultured bacterium. Its description in RNAcentral is "partial 16S ribosomal RNA". The record is from RNAcentral.
UGGGUGCAGUCGAGGAUCUUCCGCAAUGCGCGCAAGCGUGACGGAGCAAUGCCGGGUGGACGAUGAAGGCCUUCAGGUCGUAAAGUCAUGGGACCCAAUCCCCCCUUCCGAGUGCACAACGUUUACGGCCGGGACUACCGGGGUAUCUAAUCCUGUUUGCUCCCCCGGCUUUCGUUCCUCAGGGUCAGGUACCGUCCAGAGAGCUGCCUUCGCCAUCGGUGUUCCUCCUGAUAUCUACGCAUUCCACCGCUACACCAGGAAUUCCACUCUCCUCUCCGGUCCUCAAGCACGCCAGUAUCCAGUGACUUUCCAUGGUUGAGCCAUGGGCUUUCACACCGGACUUAGCAUGCCCCCUACGAACCCUUUACGCCCAGUAAAUCCGAAUAACACUCGCCACCUACGUAUUACCGCGGCUGCUGGCACGUAGUUAGCCGUGGCUUCCUCUCCCGGUACUGUCCAUAAGUCGUCCCGGGUGACAGGACUUUACGACCCGAAGGCCUUCAUCGUCCACGCGGCAUUGCUCCGUCACGCUUGCGCGCAUUGCGGAAGAUCCUCACCUGCAGCCAGA